GACUGUGGCUCAGUGGUUAAGGCUUUGAGCUAUAGAUCUGAAAGUCAUGUGAUCAAAUCCCAGCACUGCCA
This is a non-coding RNA of Pangasianodon gigas (Mekong giant catfish), 71 nucleotides long. The record is from the annotation of a GenBank genome assembly. Lineage: Eukaryota; Metazoa; Chordata; Actinopteri; Siluriformes; Pangasiidae.